UACAGAGGGUGCGAGCGUUAAUCGGAAUUACUGGGCGUAAAGCGCGCGUAGGUGGUUCAGUAAGUUGGAAGUGAAAUCCCCGGGCUCAACCUGGGAACUGCUUUCAAAACUGCUGAGCUAGAGUACGGUAGAGGGUGGUGGAAUUUCCUGUGUAGCGGUGAAAUGCGUAGAUAUAGGAAGGAACACCAGUGGCGAAGGCGACCACCUGGACUGAUACUGACACUGAGGUGCGAAAGCGUGGGGAGCAAACAGG
RNAcentral lists this ribosomal RNA (253 nucleotides) under uncultured bacterium. RNAcentral describes it as "partial 16S ribosomal RNA". It matches the Rfam family "Bacterial small subunit ribosomal RNA", at positions 524 to 776 of the family's 1533-position model. The record is from RNAcentral.